GUUGUUAUAUUAUGAUGAAUGUGAUGUGCAAGUUAGUGUUCUAGAAAGAUUCUCAGGGAUCCAAUGCUGAAAGUUAGUUGAAGGCAUAUGGGCAGCCCUAGUAUGUAACUUAUGUGAAACACUCACCUAAGGAUUUAAUGACGGUGAGUGAGUAAUUCUUUGGGACCCAAUGCUGAGGGACAUGAGAAGGCAUAUGGGCAGCCCUAGUA
RNAcentral lists this unclassified non-coding RNA (209 nucleotides) under Hevea brasiliensis (rubber tree). The record is from RNAcentral. Lineage: Eukaryota; Viridiplantae; Streptophyta; Magnoliopsida; Malpighiales; Euphorbiaceae.